RNAcentral lists this ribosomal RNA (253 nucleotides) under uncultured Gemmatimonas sp. RNAcentral describes it as "partial 16S ribosomal RNA". It matches the Rfam family "Bacterial small subunit ribosomal RNA", at positions 524 to 776 of the family's 1533-position model. Lineage: Bacteria; Pseudomonadati; Gemmatimonadota; Gemmatimonadia; Gemmatimonadales; Gemmatimonadaceae. The record is from RNAcentral.
UACAGAGGGUGCGAGCGUUGUCCGGAAUCACUGGGCGUAAAGGGCGCGUAGGUGGCACUUUAAGCGUGCGGUGAAAUCGCGGGGCUCAACCCCGCGUCGGCCGUGCGAACUGAAGGGCUCGAGCACUGUAGAGGCGGGUGGAAUUCCGGGUGUAGCGGUGGAAUGCGUAGAGAUCCGGAAGAACACCGGUGGCGAAGGCGGCCCGCUGGGCAGUGGCUGACACUGAGGCGCGACAGCGUGGGGAGCAAACAGG